UGUUAAAAAUUUCAUUCAUUUUUAUUAUUAAAAACUAGCAUGGCUAACUAAAUAAUCAGACAAUUACAUGUGGCGUGCUAUAUAUACCUAAUUCUAACAUAUCUUUAAUAGUAAAAAGGGAUGGAAUUUGUUACA
This is a microRNA precursor of Gossypium arboreum, 135 nucleotides long. It matches the Rfam family "MIR7502 microRNA precursor family". NCBI's taxonomy places the organism in Eukaryota, Viridiplantae, Streptophyta, Magnoliopsida, Malvales, Malvaceae. The record is from Rfam.